This is a long non-coding RNA of Cryptotermes secundus, 713 nucleotides long. RefSeq lists it as uncharacterized. Lineage: Eukaryota; Metazoa; Arthropoda; Insecta; Blattodea; Kalotermitidae. The transcript has 2 exons. The record is from RefSeq and is a predicted model, not a curated record.
UCAAAUUGGCUUUUAAUGGCUCUCUGGUCACUGUUUCACCUUCUCUUAUGUCAGUUUCUACUCCCUGCCUGUGACGGUCUUCUUUUACUUGUAUACCCUGGCUGCCAAGGCUAGAUUACUAUUCCGUGUAUGUAAAUAAUCUGUGAUGAUUGAUUUUAACUGUCCGUUGGUGGUUGGUAGCAUUGUUAGUUUUGAAUGUAUGACGGUUGGAGCGGUUGGAGUGUGGUUGUGUGUUGACAGUGUUAUUCUUUAUUCUCGAAGUUCUCUUACGUUUAAACAAGGUAAGUAAUAUGUUUCUAAGCUGCAGAACUGUGGAAAAUUAUUAUCGGUCUUAGGAUUAUCAGAUCCAAAUACACUUUCUUAUAUUGACUGUUUUGUUAUUGCAAGAUGGCAUUAGUUUAGUGUCGCCACGAAUUUAUUGUUUUCAAAGGGAGAUUAAUAGUUUCUUUUAUUAUUAUAUUUUCGUCACCAUCGUGUUAGUAUUGCUACGCUGUAGGUCGUGUAUUAAGUACUGCAUGUUUUGUAGUUUUUCGUGGCAAGCUUUAGAUAUGGACAGCUUUUCUGACUUACAUUUUUCUCUGAUAUGCUAGUCCUCCAUAGAUUUUUACGGUGUUUACAGAAUGGGAGUGUUUAUUUCCAGUUUGUAUGUUUUAUGUAAUGCCUCUUUUUUAUAUAGGGAUUUUAGUCUUAUAUGAUUAAAAUUGUAGUUAAAA